This is a non-coding RNA of Flagelloscypha sp. PMI_526, 95 nucleotides long. The record is from the annotation of a GenBank genome assembly. NCBI's taxonomy places the organism in Eukaryota, Fungi, Basidiomycota, Agaricomycetes, Agaricales, Niaceae.
UCCGUUAUGGUGUAGUGGCUAACAUUAUCGCCUCUCAUUCCUAUCUACCAGAUUUGGGACCGCGAUAGCCCAGGGUUCGAUUCCCUGUAACGGAG